UUGGAGGGCAAGUCUGGUGCCAGCAGCCGCGGUAAUUCCAGCUCCAAUAGCGUAUAUUAAAGUUGCUGCAGUUAAAGAGCUCGUAGUUGAAUUUCGGGACCAUCAUGUCGGUCGUGCCUCGGUACGUACUGGUAUUGUUGGUUUCUCCCUUCUGACGAACCAUGAUGUCAUUUAUUUGGUGUUGUGGGAAAUCAGGACUGUUACUUUGAAAAAAUUAGAGUGUUUAAAGCAGGCUCACGCUUGAAUACAUUAGCAUGGAAUAAUGAAAUAGGACGUUUGAUUCUAUUUUGUUGGUUUCUAGGAUCGACGUAAUGAUUAAUAGGGAUAGUUGGGGGCAUUAGUAUUCAAUUGUCAGAGGUGAAAUUCUUGGAUUUAUUGAAGACUAACUACUGCGAAAGCAUUUGCCAAGGAUGUUUUCAUUAAUCAAGAACGAAAGUUAGGGGAUCGAAGACGAUCAGAUACCGUCGUAGUCUUAACCAUAAACUAUGCCGACUAGGGAUCGGAUGAUGUUAAUUUUUUAAUGACUCAUUCGGCGCCUUACGGGAAAC
Molecule: ribosomal RNA, 548 nt
Filed under: uncultured Glomus
Lineage: Eukaryota; Fungi; Glomeromycota; Glomeromycetes; Glomerales; Glomeraceae
Description: SSU rRNA
Rfam family: Eukaryotic small subunit ribosomal RNA
Source: RNAcentral